Molecule: transfer RNA, 73 nt
Filed under: Candidatus Moraniibacteriota bacterium
Lineage: Bacteria; Candidatus Moraniibacteriota
Description: tRNA-Ala
Rfam family: tRNA
About the family: Transfer RNA (tRNA) molecules are approximately 80 nucleotides in length. Their secondary structure includes four short double-helical elements and three loops (D, anti-codon, and T loops).
Source: RNAcentral
GGGCUCUUAGCUCAGCUGGUAGAGCGCCUCGUUUGCACCGAGGAGGUCAGGAGUUCGACUCUCCUAGAGUCCA